CACAUUAAUCAGUUUUAUUAUUUGCGCUGCGUGUUUCAAAGCGAAGUAAGCAUUUUCCUCACGCGAACAGCUCGUUAUUCGGUGUUUUCCACGUCUCAGAACGGCUCAGUUCACUGUGAAUGAAUGCAGUCAACUCCAUCUCUGCAUGUAAUAAUCGGAACAAUGAAUGCUGUAAAUGUUGUGCAACUGCUCAUUGUGGUUUGGACCUUCUCCGCUGUCUGUCAAGGUUAUGAUGAUGAUUUCAUUGUAAACUGUGAGAAUGUGACUGGAUCUGUGGGGAAUGAAGUAACUCUCACCUGCAGCAUCUCUCUGCUGCUCACUGAAUGCUGCGUUACAAAGUAUAAGUUUCAAUACCCUGAGAGCAUUAAUGACUGCGCAGUCUGUCAUCAAGUUUUUCCUGUGAACCCCUGUGAACAGAGGAACAGCUUAACAUGCUGCUACACUCCAUCUACAGCAAUGACAGAACAAUUCAGAUUCUUUGUGCAAACAAACUGUGGAAUGAAAAGAAGAGGAUUCGCUGUGGGCAUAACAGAACCCAUGAAACGUGAAAUUGACACUGAAGCUCCUGGAAAGAAAGAAGAACCUGUCAGGGACAUAUCAGAAACAUCUGAACAGGAGAAAGCAGAAGGUCGUGGAUAUAAGAUCGCCGUCAUCGCUGCUGUUAUAAGCUGUUUUAUCAUCGUCAUAAUGCCAGUCAUUUACAGAUUGACACAAAAACACACCAAACGGAACAGGACGUUUCUGAGUGUUAGACAUGAAGACAACAACAGCAAUCAUCUAGAAAAUGUGAUAUAAUAGCAUCGACUAAGCAGUACCAAACUAAUUAACUAAUUUGUUUAACUUUCCAUACAGUGCUCAUGAAAGACACUCCAGCAAACUUAUCUACUAUCUGUUAAAAUUCAAACUAUACUGAACUGUAUAACUCUGACUGCAAAACUCUGUUUCUGUUUUAUAUUGAUUUCUGUGAAAUAAUGAUAUAUUAUAGAUCUGCUUGAUCAGUGUAUUUAGUGUUAAUUUUCUGCACACGCAAUUUCGUAAUAGUGUGAACAGUAAGGUUUUGUACAGUGUGUUGUAUUGAUUUAACAAGUAAGGAACUCAAAGACUUGUGAUAGGCUACUCUCUAAAGAAUAUCUUGAACAUGUUUUUUUUCACCACAUAAUGGAUCAGAACAGGAAACUGGGUGAAAAAUAGCUGCACAGAGCUCAUCUGUUCCUUUAGUUACUGAAUGAGAUUCCCUGGAUCUUGAUAUUCGUUUUCUGAAUCUGUACAGAGAAAAAGAAAGUAAAAUGAUCCCACACCUGUGAAAAACAAACAGUGUUCAUCAUGUACUUAGAUACUUCCAAUCCAGUGUGCAGCAGUCAUUUGAGUCCACAACAAACACAAUGGAUUAUUCGCACAAGCAGCGCACAUCACGAGCAGCAGCAAGGGUCCAUUUCACUCCAUUUGGUUUUUGUUUGUUGUUCUUAGGAAAAAAAAAAAAAUACUGAUAUCAAUGUUGGAGUCCUUCACAUUCAACACACCAAAUCACAAUUAUAUGAUGCCCAAACUACAACAUUCACACAUACGGUG
Sinocyclocheilus anshuiensis is the source of this 1569-nucleotide long non-coding RNA. Ensembl lists it as uncharacterized. The record is from Ensembl. Lineage: Eukaryota; Metazoa; Chordata; Actinopteri; Cypriniformes; Cyprinidae.